Molecule: long non-coding RNA, 369 nt
Organism: Xenia sp. Carnegie-2017
Lineage: Eukaryota; Metazoa; Cnidaria; Anthozoa; Malacalcyonacea; Xeniidae
Exons: 3
Source: RefSeq, a predicted model, not a curated record
UGACGAACUUAUGUUGCUUGCAUCGCUUCUUACCAGUGAAGUCAAAAAUCAGGAUUUAUCGAGAGGUUCCAUACCAAAAGUUCUCAACGAAUAUUACGAAAUUUGCUUAACAAGAUGAAUAACCAUGUGUUUGCUAGAGCCGACGCUUCCAAUGUUCUUGCUUACAAUAUCAUCAUGUUGAGUACAGAUCUACAUAGUUCACAGGUUAAGCGAAAGAUAACCAAACAUGAACUGUGGUAUAAAUAAUAGUAAAGAUCAUCCAUCUGAAUAUCUUGAAGCACUUUAUGAUAUGAGACAGAGAGCCAGGCCCCUUGGCAAAAUUCUUGGGUCCACUAAAAUAUAUUAUUUUAUUAAAAUUAAUUACAACAA